AUCUAUGGCCCUACUACCCUGAACACACCCGAACUUGAAAGCUAAGCAGGGUCGGACCUGGUUAGCACUUGGAAGGGAGACCUUGUGGGUCCCCUUAAAGAGUCUCAGGAU
Ribosomal RNA from Saimiri boliviensis boliviensis (Bolivian squirrel monkey), 111 nucleotides. The record is from Ensembl. NCBI's taxonomy places the organism in Eukaryota, Metazoa, Chordata, Mammalia, Primates, Cebidae.